AUGAGUGCAGCCGCCCCACCCGCAGGACAUCCAUGGCUGAUCUGCGGCGAUUUGAACCUAAUUUUUGAAGCUAGAGACAAGAACAACUCCAACAACAAUAGAAGGGUGAUGGGCAAAUUUAGGAACGUUAUUGAUCAAGCAGGCUUGAGGGAAAUAAAGUGCGAGAACAGGAAAUUUACUUGGUCAAGUGAAAGGAAAGACCCAACUAUGUGCAUCAUCGGCAAAUUCUUCAGCAACAUGAAAUGGGAAGAGGAAUGCCCUAGUUACCUGCUUAUGGCUGCGUCUACCUCGGUCUUGGACCACUACCCCUCCUACUUGCAUGCACGGCCGCACCUCCCAGGCGGGCAAAAUUCAGAUUUGAAUCAUUUUGGCCCCGGUUCCCGCGGUUUCAGGAAACAGUUGCCAGGAUGUGGCACAGACCGGUCAAUCAUUCAUGCCCAUACGUCAGGGUAA
RNAcentral lists this ribosomal RNA (453 nucleotides) under Triticum aestivum (bread wheat). RNAcentral describes it as "partial small subunit ribosomal RNA". The record is from RNAcentral. Lineage: Eukaryota; Viridiplantae; Streptophyta; Magnoliopsida; Poales; Poaceae.